This is a non-coding RNA of Hypoxylon trugodes, 65 nucleotides long. Lineage: Eukaryota; Fungi; Ascomycota; Sordariomycetes; Xylariales; Hypoxylaceae. The record is from the annotation of a RefSeq genome assembly.
AUCUAAUAGAGUGGUAAAAUCCAUCGUUGCCAUCGAUGGGCCCCGCGUUCGAUUCGCGGCUGAUG